This 37-nucleotide ribosomal RNA is filed under the name Leccinum populinum. RNAcentral's name for it is "partial 28S ribosomal RNA". The record is from RNAcentral. Lineage: Eukaryota; Fungi; Basidiomycota; Agaricomycetes; Boletales; Boletaceae. RNAcentral also lists the same sequence under 3 other names.
UUUGACCUCAAAUCAGGUAGGACUACCCGCUGAACUU